GGGGACCUGCGGGGCCCUACACCACGACAGGGGCCCUCGCGCCCACAAAGCAACGGAAGACAGAAA
Molecule: non-coding RNA, 66 nt
Filed under: unclassified sequences
Description: L2-Alphaproteobacteria ribosomal protein leader
Rfam family: L2-Alphaproteobacteria ribosomal protein leader
Source: RNAcentral